This 319-nucleotide ribosomal RNA is filed under the name Staphylococcus aureus. RNAcentral's name for it is "partial 23S ribosomal RNA". It matches the Rfam family "Bacterial large subunit ribosomal RNA", at positions 1 to 319 of the family's 2925-position model. Lineage: Bacteria; Bacillati; Bacillota; Bacilli; Caryophanales; Staphylococcaceae. The record is from RNAcentral.
GAUUAAGUUAUUAAGGGCGCACGGUGGAUGCCUUGGCACUAGAAGCCGAUGAAGGACGUUACUAACGACGAUAUGCUUUGGGGAGCUGUAAGUAAGCUUUGAUCCAGAGAUUUCCGAAUGGGGAAACCCAGCAUGAGUUAUGUCAUGUUAUCGAUAUGUGAAUACAUAGCAUAUCAGAAGGCACACCCGGAGAACUGAAACAUCUUAGUACCCGGAGGAAGAGAAAGAAAAUUCGAUUCCCUUAGUAGCGGCGAGCGAAACGGGAAGAGCCCAAACCAACAAGCUUGCUUGUUGGGGUUGUAGGACACUCUAUACGGAG